RNAcentral lists this non-coding RNA (100 nucleotides) under Erysipelothrix larvae. RNAcentral describes it as "Guanine sequence". It matches the Rfam family "Purine riboswitch aptamer". Rfam says of the family: Riboswitches are metabolite binding domains within certain messenger RNAs that serve as precision sensors for their corresponding targets. Allosteric rearrangement of mRNA structure is mediated by ligand binding, and this results in modulation of gene expression. Lineage: Bacteria; Bacillati; Bacillota; Erysipelotrichia; Erysipelotrichales; Erysipelotrichaceae. The record is from Rfam by way of RNAcentral.
UUUUUUAAAAUCAUUAUAUUUUGUAUAAUCGUGAAAUGUUGGUUCACAAGUCUCUACCUUGCUCCGUUCGUGCAAGACUACAAAAUAGAAUACUUCUUUU